UGUUCUACUAUACGUUAAUUCAAUAAAACACCAUUCAUGCGCGUCACUCUUAGACCGACGGAAGCCGGCGCUCUUCGGAGUGUCCUGCAAAUACCGAAUCUAGCCAAAUGCCUCGUCAUCUAAUUAGUGACGCGUAUGAAUGGUUCAACAAGAUUCCUUUUGUCCCUAUCUACUAUCUAGCGAAACCACAGCUAAAGGAACGGGCUUGGCAAAAUCAGCGGGGAAAGAAGACCCUGUUGAGCUUGACUCUAGUCUGACUCUGUGAAGAGUCAUGAAAGG
RNAcentral lists this non-coding RNA (279 nucleotides) under Trichinella patagoniensis. RNAcentral describes it as "Eukaryotic large subunit ribosomal RNA". It matches the Rfam family "Eukaryotic large subunit ribosomal RNA", at positions 2266 to 2458 of the family's 3401-position model. The record is from Rfam by way of RNAcentral. Lineage: Eukaryota; Metazoa; Nematoda; Enoplea; Trichinellida; Trichinellidae.